AUGUUGGGUAGGGCUAGGGGAAAGACCAAGUCAAUUAAUGAUUUGGAUUCAGAACAAGUUACAAAGAAAUCAAAAGUCCUCGCAAGAGUAAUGGAUGAGUAUUUCAGACGGGACAAGGCGUAUUUUCCUAUGCACGUUAAUGAUAAUCAUUGGAUAACCAUAGUGAUGCACACCGUCAAGGAUGAGUUUCAAGUUCUUGACUCAAAUUCGAAAGGCGCAAUUAGCCAAAGAAUUCGCAAUAUGAUUGCCACCCUGGCCAACUCUAUUCUUGAAUUAAAAAAAAUCCAGAUGUCUCAUCGUGGCCAAUUAAUGAGUAUAAAAUGCCGAGACAACAUGAUGGAGUGUCUUGUGGACUUUUUGUGA
RNAcentral lists this ribosomal RNA (363 nucleotides) under Triticum aestivum (bread wheat). Its description in RNAcentral is "partial small subunit ribosomal RNA". The record is from RNAcentral. Lineage: Eukaryota; Viridiplantae; Streptophyta; Magnoliopsida; Poales; Poaceae.